Long non-coding RNA from Patella vulgata (common limpet), 614 nucleotides. RefSeq lists it as uncharacterized. The record is from RefSeq and is a predicted model, not a curated record. The transcript has 3 exons. NCBI's taxonomy places the organism in Eukaryota, Metazoa, Mollusca, Gastropoda, Patellidae.
AUCCUCACUAGUGUAUAGUAAACAGUUUCAGAGACAACAUACAGGAUGAGGACUUUAGUUAUUCUUUGCUGUCUGGUCCUUUUGAUAUCUAUGGCAAAUUCACAAGGGAUUGGAGCGAUCAACUUUUCAAGUUUUAUACCUGGCGGUUUUAAUAUAACCCAAAUGGUCAACAGUAUAAUGGCGAACAUACGAGCCAAAAAUACAACCUUAUCAACGUCAACGUCAACGUCAACAUCAACGACCACUACUACAUUGGCUCCUUGAACACCAACAUUCUCCUACUAAGAUAGGCCUACAACAAUAAAUCACAAUAAAGGAACAUUAUUAUUUUUUUUAAUACACAAGUCUGAUUAUUACCCCAGUUUAAUGUGUCUAGUAUGCUGUAUUACCAUCACACAAUUACACCACAGAUGACUUUUAGUCGGUUUCAUAAUAUUUUUUUGUUUGUUUUUUUGUCAGCAAUUAUUAUUGACUAUAGGAUAUGUUCUCUUUGUCAGUAAAUUGGGGACAUUUAAAACAUAUCGUAUACAUCGACAUGUAAACCAAUGCAUAUAUUUACUAUUGAAUAUAUUAAAAUUUGUUUCAAAGUGUCGUACCACAUGUAAAUUACAAUA